GGAAUCUUCCGCAAUGGACGAAAGUCUGACGGAGCAACGCCGCGUGAGUGAUGAAGGUUUUCGGAUCGUAAAGCUCUGUUGUUAGGGAAGAACAAGUACCGUUCGAAUAGGGCGGUACCUUGACGGUACCUAACCAGAAAGCCACGGCUAACUACGUGCCAGCAGCCGCGGUAAUACGUAGGUGGCAAGCAUUGUCCGGAAUUAUUGGGCGUAAAGGGCUCGCAGGCGGUUUCUUAAGUCUGAUGUGAAAGCCCCCGGCUCAACCGGGGAGGGUCAUUGGAAACUGGGAAACUUGAGUGCAGAAGAGGAGAGUGGAAUUCCACGUGUAGCGGUGAAAUGCGUAGAGAUGUGGAGGAACACCAGUGGCGAAGGCGACUCUCUGGUCUGUAACUGACGCUGAGGAGCGAAAGCGUGGGGAGCGAACAGGA
RNAcentral lists this unclassified non-coding RNA (428 nucleotides) under plant metagenome. RNAcentral describes it as "partial contains 5.8S ribosomal RNA, internal transcribed spacer 2, and large subunit ribosomal RNA". It matches the Rfam family "Bacterial small subunit ribosomal RNA", at positions 358 to 777 of the family's 1533-position model. The record is from RNAcentral.